GCGAAAGUGGCGGAAUUGGUAGACGCGCUGGAUUUAGGUUCCAGUGGGGAAACCCGUGGGAGUUCGAGUCUCCCCUUUCGCACCA
Molecule: transfer RNA, 85 nt
Filed under: Pseudomonadota bacterium
Lineage: Bacteria; Pseudomonadati; Pseudomonadota
Also listed under: 8 other names
Description: tRNA-Leu
Rfam family: tRNA
About the family: Transfer RNA (tRNA) molecules are approximately 80 nucleotides in length.
Source: RNAcentral